This is a long non-coding RNA of Drosophila yakuba, 513 nucleotides long. RefSeq lists it as uncharacterized. The record is from RefSeq and is a predicted model, not a curated record. The transcript is spliced from 2 exons. Lineage: Eukaryota; Metazoa; Arthropoda; Insecta; Diptera; Drosophilidae.
CGCUGGUUCGAUAGCUUUUCAAGUCAUCGAUGUUUUCCUAAGUUUCGCACCUUGGAUUGACAACUAACUACUAAGCUAAUUUCCUAGCUAAGUUACCUACCAAAAAGAAUUUUCACCUAGCGCAAUGAAUAUAAUCGAUUGCUGUAAUCGGAAAUCGAUAUUACCAACAUCUAGCUACACCGAUAGUACCACACAAACAUCGAUUUUUGUUCCAGCUCUAUUUCGUGGAACCUUUGCGUGAUUUGCUAUACGAAAUUACUCAAGAAAAGGAUUCCCUAAACGCAAGGCCAUACCCAGUGUGACGUAACGAAACGGAGAGACCAAUCCCAGGUGUUACCACGCAGGACUUGUUACUUUUAGCCUGAAGGAACCGACCAGGAAGAACCGAAAUCGGAAGGAACCGUAGCAGACCAACCUUAAACAGGAUAACCAGUCACCCAUUACCACUUGUCUCUGUGUGCGUACGCGUGUGUGUGUUUGAUUUGUGUGCGUUUCGUCGAGUGUCCCCAAGGA